RNAcentral lists this ribosomal RNA (254 nucleotides) under uncultured bacterium. RNAcentral's name for it is "partial 16S ribosomal RNA". It matches the Rfam family "Bacterial small subunit ribosomal RNA", at positions 524 to 776 of the family's 1533-position model. The record is from RNAcentral.
UACGGAGGAUCCGAGCGUUAUCCGGAUUUAUUGGGUUUAAAGGGUGCGUAGGCGGCCUAUUAAGGUCAGGGGUGAAAGACGGUAGCUUAACUAUCGCAGUGCCUUUGAUACUGAUAGGCUUGAAUGUACUUGAGGUAGGCGGAAUGUGACAAGUAGCGGUGAAAUGCAUAGAUAUGUCACAGAACACCAAUUGCGAAGGCAGCUUACUAAAGUAUGAUUGACGCUGAGGCACGAAAGCGUGGGGAUCAAACAGG